This 187-nucleotide ribosomal RNA is filed under the name uncultured Staphylococcus sp. RNAcentral describes it as "partial 16S ribosomal RNA". It matches the Rfam family "Bacterial small subunit ribosomal RNA", at positions 153 to 334 of the family's 1533-position model. The record is from RNAcentral. Lineage: Bacteria; Bacillati; Bacillota; Bacilli; Caryophanales; Staphylococcaceae.
AAGACCGGAGCUAGUACCGGAUAAUAUUUUGAACCGCAUGGUUCAAAAGUGAAAGACGGUCUUGCUGUCACUUAUAGAUGGAUCCGCGCUGCAUUAGCUAGUUGGUAAGGUAACGGCUUACCAAGGCAACGAUGCAUAGCCGACCUGAGAGGGUGAUCGGCCACACUGGAACUGAGACACGGUCCAG